Molecule: long non-coding RNA, 329 nt
Organism: Etheostoma cragini (Arkansas darter)
Lineage: Eukaryota; Metazoa; Chordata; Actinopteri; Perciformes; Percidae
Exons: 2
Source: RefSeq, a predicted model, not a curated record
ACGACCAACUCUGAGGCCCCGCCUUCCUUUAGGUUUGACUCCGCCCCCUGUGUUGAUGUAGUUACGCCUGACGAGUCACUGGACUCCCCUCUGUCCCCCAGCAAGACGCCCCCCCCCCUCCCUGAGAAGAAGCGACCCAUCCAACAGUACCUGCAGUUCUGUUCAUCCUACACCGAAGGACAGCCAGCGGACAUGUUGUACCAGCUGUCUCUCACCGUCACCGAGCACUACAGCAGCCGACAGCGAGACCUGGAGACCACGUACCAUGUCCCACAGACGUUAGACUCCGCCCCCUCACCUGAGCUGCUUCCCGCUCCAGUUCUACCGCC